ACUAAUUUGGCAGAAAUAUUGUAUCAAAUUUAGAAUUUGAAUAUGGUUAAGUACCAGUUAGUG
This 63-nucleotide transfer RNA is filed under the name Ixodes simplex. Its description in RNAcentral is "tRNA-Leu". The record is from RNAcentral. Lineage: Eukaryota; Metazoa; Arthropoda; Arachnida; Ixodida; Ixodidae.